Molecule: non-coding RNA, 5165 nt
Organism: Odocoileus virginianus texanus
Lineage: Eukaryota; Metazoa; Chordata; Mammalia; Artiodactyla; Cervidae
Source: RefSeq, a predicted model, not a curated record
AUGAACAUUGGGGUGCGUGUGGAAUCUAGACAAAGGUGGGAGAAACUGCAGAUGACCACCAGCGAAAGGAGGAAAAUCUUCUGCUCGGUCACUUUCCACGUCAUUGCCAUCACCUGCAUGGUCUGGUCCUUGUACGUGCUGAUAGAUCGGACGGCAGAGGAGAUCAGGCAGGGCAAUGAUAACGGUGUCCUCGAAUGGCCGUUUUGGACAAAGCUGGCUGUGGUGGCCAUCGUCUUCACUGGAGGUCUGGUCUUCAUGUACGCCCAGUGCAAGGUCUACGGCAGCUAUGGCGCAGGCUGAAGGCCUACGACCGCGUGAUCUUUGUGCAGAACUGCCCGGACACAGCCAAGAGGGCGGAGGAGAACCGCUCUUGCACUGUGAGCGUGGGCACCAAGGACGCUGGGGCGCCGCCCGCGUUGCCGACGGGGACCACGGCAUGGCCACCCGCGGAGGCCGGGCCCACCGAGCUCGUUCCCGUGUGACGGGGCCAGCGGGGGUCUGUCACCCAGAGCAGAGUCCCGCCUGUCACUACAGACGACAGGAGCGACCCUCAAUAGUUGCCCUCUAUCUUCUCUCCGCUUUCUGACCCAUUUGUUCUUACUUUGCUCAAAAGGAAAGAAGAAAACACCAAAUGACCAGGAUCCCAUGAAACAGUCUCAAGUGUAAAGAGGAAAUGUAGAAGUUAGCUGGAAAAUGAUCUCUGAGACAAUUCACCACCGGAGCAAGGGAUGCUUUUAGGCAAUGAGGAAAGCCUGAGUGGACAGACCUGUGAGUCCUCACAGUACCGGGGAAAGUUCCAGAGGAAGGACUUGAGUUGAGCAUGUGUUUCUUCUAGGGCCUCAUGAUGCUAACUCUCUCAUCUGGAAAUGACAAAGGUAUUUGGGUUUAAGCUUGAAAUUGUCUGCAUUAUCCCUAAGGCACAUUAGACGCAAACUUGGAAGAUGCAUAUUUUGAUAUUCAUACUUUGACAGCUAACAGGUUUUUAUGGCUAUAGUGGAGUCCAGUUUGUUUUGACCGGUGCAUGUUUUUAAAAUAAAUGCAAGACACGUUUGAAGAUAUUAAUACUUGGAAUUAUGUUUAAAUCAUGAAGAGUAGAUUUUGAAAGAUUUUGGGAUUUAAUUAGUUCUGUUAAAUACCCAGAAGCCUUGUAUACUCCAUUUGGACCCUCUGAAACAGCACUGUCAAACAGAAAUGUAAUGUGAGCCCAAAGGCUGGCUUACAUACGCAAAUUUAAAAUUUUCUAGUAGCACCAUUAGAAAAAGUAAAAAUAAACAGGUGAAUUUCGACAGUGUUUUAUUUAGCAUUAUAUACCCAUUAUCAUUUCAAUGUCAUCAUGAUAAAAAAUUAUUGAGUUAUUUUACAUCUCCUUUUAUGAACCAAGUCUUCAAAAUCCAGUAUGCAUUUCAUCCUUACAGGGAAUCUCAAUUCAAAUCCACUGUAUUGGAUACAGCAGCCCUAAAAUUAGACACAAAACCUGUUUUAACAGUUGAAUCUUUCAAAACAGCACUUCAUUCUUUUUUUCAAAGUAUCACAAAUGUUAUUUUACAAAGCACUAAUCAAAUGAAGUAUCUUAAUAAGUUAGACAAAGUUACUAUUUUUUAAAGAGUAAAAAAACAAAACUAUAAAGCAAUCUGCCUAAGUUUCAAAAUUAACUUAUUUGCUACUAUGAAGCACUUAUCAUAGGGGAAAUAAAAAAUAAUUUUUUAAGUCAAAUGUACUUUUAAAAAUCUACAUAAGGUGUCAACUUGACAGAUGAGUAGUGAGUAGUUAUGACCAAGCAUUUAGACUGUAUUUUAAAGAGCUGACAAUUAUUUCCCUUGCUCAACUGGGAAGCAAAAAACUUUCAAGAUUCUGUGAUAAGUAAUAAAUUGAGUUGUUUAGGUUUGACAGAUGAGUUGAUUAUUGUAUUCUUUGCAUAUUCAUGUGAACCUGAAGCGUGAAUAAUACUGCAGUGAGCUAGACUAAUGAUUAUAAAUAUAGUGGUCUGUCAAAGAGAGAUGUCUUACAUAAAACAAGGUGAUUUAUUUUUGCUAGCUGUUGUUAUUUAUUAUUGUGAAAAGGCAACCAUGAUGGCCAUAGAACCAAAGCAUGGGUUUCGCACUGCACAAAUCUGGGUAUCACAUCAUUGAUGUACUUUGUCAUUGUCAGUGUGCUUGUUCCUUACAGGUUACCAUAGAAAAAGGAAAGAGAGAACCUUUUACUGAGAAGGAUGCUAUGAUACUAGUAGUGGCUGACACUGAGUCCAGAUAGUCCCAGUUCUUAGAAAUAGAGCAAAGGUCAACAGCGUCAACUUUGUGUGCCUGUGAGGUGUGUGUGUUCCUGUAUAUACAUGAGAAAAACGUCAAAGUGUUCAGUCAGGCAGCAAACAAGAGGUUUUUUAAAGCUCAUCUUUCUUAAAGUUUGUUGAAUGAAGGCACAGGGAAAAAAAAAAACACUUGAGGCAACUAAACUGGACCAAAAUUUCUGCACAAUUAAAAUAUAUGAACCUUACACUGGACUUUGUAUUAACUUCUUAAUUUCCAUCUUCAAGGUUUAAGACACAUACAUUCACGGAUAAUGAAGCUUUGGGUGACUUAACCAUGGCACUUCACCCAAGGGACUAAACGUGAUUCAUUUCUUCUGAUAACUUUCCUAAGCAGUUUACUAAUCCAUGUCUCCUGAGGUUUAGCAAUGGCAACACUAACACUUCCACAAGUUCCUGAGGGAACAAAAUCAUCACCAGCAAAGAACCGUUGAUCACUCUGUUGUCUGCUCUGUAAGAAAAAGGAUUAUUUACACCAAAAACACCAUUUCAAUUCUGUCCAAACUCCAGAAAGACAGGUAACUAUAUGGCUCAUUUUACAGUGGAAGAUGAUUGGCUAACAUAAGGCCUGGUUUAUUAAGGGGCUCACUGAACACUAGAAUGAAAAAUAAAGAUAAUCUUUACUGUAUUAAUGAUAAAAGAGGACAUGGUGUUUUAAAACCACACAUAAAUUCUCAAAAUUAACUUAAAUAGGCUUUGUCUUUCUUGAACUGAGAAAAUAUAGAGCUCUCUAAUGGGUUAAAAGUCAGCAUUAUUCUGCUAUUCUUUUUUAAAACCUGAACUCUUGAAUUUAAAUCGUUAAAAAGUUUUCCCAUAAUGGCUGUUGAAGCUUCAAACAACUGAAAUAACUAUGUGUAUUGAAAACCUAGUGUUGAUUGUUUUCUUUUAUAUUGUGUGGCAAUGGUUUCUGACCUUUCAAUGACUGGGUGUGGCUUUGUGAAAAUACUUUCGUGGACUGGAUAUACCCUUCAAAAAGAAAAACUGCUCUCUGGAAUGCUCUUCAAUUUUUUAAAGCGUGUUUACCUGCUUAUUUAAGAAAUAAAAUGGAAUUGAAACAAAGGACUUAAAUUGAAAAAUAAAUUUAUAAUUCUACUAAAACCUUGGCUUUUUAUAAUCACAACUCUGUGGUAUUACCAGUUGUGCUGUUAAUUUUUUUAAAGAACUGUCACUUUUAUUGUAUAAGCUCAAAUAUUAAGUUGUAAAGAAAUGAAAUUCAUUUUUUUUUUUAAAGUGAAGCCAAAAAGGCAAUCAAGCUUAAGUACAAAUGAAACAAAAAUGUUACCAUCAGCUUGGGAUAUAAAACAAUGGAGAAACUGAAGGAAGACAGGUGCAUACAGAAAAGGAGUCUUUCAAAUGCCACCGGAUUAAAUCUCAUUCUGAGCUGCUGCUCAUGUGAUUCUAGUCCCAGAGAGAUAGCUGCAUAGUUAAUCUGUUUUGCACAAGGUCCCUGAACCAUCUGUAUAGUUUGGCUGGAAAACCAGCCCAUUGGAGCAAUGGCGUCACUAACACAUUCUGUCACAGAGGUGAGGUGGAAACUAGCCCAUCAGAGCAAUGGCCUCACUGACGCAUUCUCGUUGUCAUGGAGGUGAGGUGGGAAGAGUGUUUCAUUUGCCUGACACAGUUCUCCUUUCCUUUCAUGGCAGUUAGUAUUUUGGAACAAAGUAGAGCUCUCCAAACUUAACAUUGUCAUUAUUGUAGUUGUCAUAUAAUUGUGUAGGACUUACACUUUAAUUAACAAAGAUGGAAACCAAUUUUCUUCCCUUUUACGGCAGCCCAAAGGUGCUAUUUUACAUAUCAAUACAGUUGAGAGGAAGUACUGUUAUUUUGGGCUGCAGUGUUUCCUCCACAUCUGAAGAAAGCCCAUUUGACACUGCAUUAAGACAAAAGAAAAAUUUUAACUGUGUGCAAUUUUGGGGAUUGAGCAUUUGUACUUUUUUGGUUUUUCCUAAUUCUCUUGCAUUAACAAUUUACUGUUUUGUGAAUUAUGUGUACUAAGACAAAUUAAGGAAAACAAAUAAUUCCCUGUGAAAAAAGACUUUGUAUAUUAAAUAAGUGACCCAAACUUUUGUUGUGAUUUCUUUAUUUUUUGCCUAACUUACCUGAAUUUCUUCAGAUUUGUAUCUGCAACAUUCAAACAGCCUUGAGUUCUUAAGAUUCUGCAAUGUUCUGGGUUUUUAAGCAGGGUCUGAACAUAUUUUAAGGCCAACAUAGGUUGAUUAACACAUGGCAUUUCAGGAAGGAUUAAAUAGGUCCAUUAACAAGGGAAAAUCAAUGAAAAUAAUCUACACAGACUUUCAAACUCUGUUUUAAAGAAAAAAAAAAUUAAGAAAAAUCAGAAUGCAAUCCAGAAAAAGAUUCUCUGAUGAAUAAGGCUUGGAUAUACAAAAGAAUGUAACAGUAUUUUCCUACCCAGAGGUAAUAAAAACUAAAACAGGGAAUCUAAUUCAAACCUAAGUGGGUUAGUGAUCAGUGAAGAAAACACCCCAACUGAAGCCCCAGCUUUGAAGUCUGAAUUCAGGGUCUAAUUGGAUGUGUUCAUUCUUCUGUCCAAACGGAACAUGUGCAUGUGUCUUCUCAGCCUCCCAAAUUACUACACACAAACCUAGAUCAUAGAUCAUUGUCACUGUGUGUUUAGCCAGUGACCAAACCCGGGAGCUGUGACAGAGACACCAAGGGUGGGGUAGACUCUUUAACCCAGGGAAGUGACAGGGCAGGAAGCAGAGUCCUGAACAAGGCCCAUCAGCAAGACCCAGCCAGGGGGGAAACAGUCUGCGCUGGAGUCUCAGCUCACUCCUUACAGAGGCACACAAGGAAGGAGGGAGAGGCGCCAGCUCCUCGGGAGCCCUGCCACAGAGGGAAGGCG